AUGCCAUCUUUAUGAUAUCUUUUCAUGUUACUCAAUAUGGCCCUAUAAAUGGAGGCAUUGAGAAUAAUGUUGUACACACUUGAACACACUUGGAUGAAUAGGAAAGUUCUAAUCUCUUGUCUCUGUUUAUCUCUUUAUUGUUCUUGUUUCAUCUUUUGAUAUAUUGUACUAACUAUUUUAGAAUGAUUUUACAACACGUUAUCAGCACGAGACUCUAAUAUCAUUUUGGUAUUUUCAAGUUGAGUUGCACUCCUUAUUCUGUGUGCAAAGGAACCAAAAGGUAUAUGCUACUGGUUGAUUAUUUUUUGCCCACAAAAUUCCUUAAUGGGAAAGGUAAAAAUUCUAACGUGUUGUAAAAUCAUUCUAAAAUAGUUAGUACAAUAUAUCAAAAGAUGAAACAAGAACAAUAAAGAGAUAUUUAAAGACAAGAGAUUAGAACUUUCUUAUUCUAGAGAUUAUUUUCUGUGUGCAAAGGAACCAAAAGGUAUAUGCUACGGGUUGAUUAUUUUCUGCCCACAAAAUUCCUUAAUGGGAGAAGGUAGAAAUUCUAAUGUGCUGUAAAAUCAUUAUAAAAUAGUUAGUACAAUAUAUCAAAAGAUGAAACAAGAACAAUAAAUAGAUAAAGAGAGACAAGAGAUUAGAACUUUCUUAUUCAUCCAAGUGUGUACAACAUCAUUCUCAAUGCCUCCAUUUAUAGGGUCAUAUUGAGUAACAUGAAAAGAUGUCAUAAAGAUGACAUUUACCCUUGAGAAGGUGGGGAAGAUUAUGGGGUUGUGGGAGAUGAAUGAGGAGGUAGUGGAUGUGUGGUGUUACUAUACUUUAUGGUGGAAUUACACCUAGGAGUUAUGGACAUCCACAAUUAACUAAUAUUAAUAUUUACAACAAUCCUUUUGGUUUUGGGAUUUUUUUUUUGAUGAUUUCUGUUCCAAUGGUUUAAUAUGAUCUCUUCUAAUUGUUCUUUGAUUGGUAUGUUUGUUAUAAUUCUAUGGAGUGGACUUUCUUAGUCUGGAGCAACACAAUACUUCUUUUCCCCACAAAGUACUAAAUUUUGUUUGCAAAUCAUAUUCACUUAAGACUUGUCUAUAAUCAGAUGCUUCUUUCCUCUUCUUUGCACGACAAUUAUUUGAUGUCAUCUGUCCAUCGCGUUAAAAUUUUGAAUCACGUAGUAGCUAUAGGUUACUUCCUUCUUCUAUCAUUUCUUGCAUAUAUCAUCUGGAUUUUGGGCAGCAAAGGUGUUUGAUGAUAUGUUUGACUUAUUUUAUUUGGAGUAACGAAGUCCACAAACUUUCCUUUAAUCUUCGGGUUAGGAGAUUUGUGCAUUUCUUUCCCGCUUGCUGGCGGGAUGCUCAGUUUGACACAUUGGACGUAUGCAACUAGAUGAUAUUAAUCUCCUUAGAAAGGAGACAACGAAGAAGAAGGUAGAGGAAGCAAUGGAGGCUGGUAAGGUAUCUACCAAGAAGAAAGAAAGUAAAAAGCCAUCCAUUUCUUUGGACGUUAAGCCUUGGGAUGACUAAAUCAUAUGAAGAAACAAGAGGAGGUUGUUUGCAAUGUUCAGAUGGAAGAGCUUUUCUGGGGAGCAUGCAUGACUUAUUAUAUCCAUUCAACUCUUUAACCAUGCCCUAACCAUUAUAUAUCUGAGUUUGGUUAUUGACAAGCUGUUUUUGCAUCUCUUUGACAACCAAAUUAGUUCCAAUCGGCAACGGGAUUAAGAAAUUGCAAAUCAUGCUUACCAUCGUAGAUGACCUGAAAUUUGGGCUGCGUAGAGCCCCAUGUUGUUGGUAAGUUUUUGCGCAUUCGUGCUUGAGAUCCUGUGGAUUUCCUUAUGUUUCUUUUGAUAGCAUUUCCUAAUGGGGAAAACUUUAAGGUAGGGAGUCAAAGUUGUUAUUGCUAAAUCUUUGAGAAGAUUCACCAUAAUAAAGGCAAAAUUUCG
This is a long non-coding RNA of Lycium barbarum (goji berry), 1930 nucleotides long. RefSeq lists it as uncharacterized. The record is from RefSeq and is a predicted model, not a curated record. The transcript is spliced from 3 exons. Lineage: Eukaryota; Viridiplantae; Streptophyta; Magnoliopsida; Solanales; Solanaceae.